This 846-nucleotide ribosomal RNA is filed under the name Triticum aestivum (bread wheat). RNAcentral's name for it is "partial small subunit ribosomal RNA". Lineage: Eukaryota; Viridiplantae; Streptophyta; Magnoliopsida; Poales; Poaceae. The record is from RNAcentral.
AUGGCAACUAAAUUGACUGCAUGGUUAGAGGCUAAUGUGCAACACGCGGAGGCUCGACGAUACACCUACAUAGAAUUUCCUGAAUAUUGGACAUGGCACCAACAAGAGAAAUAUUGGGGUUUUCGUCGAGGUGCUCAUAAUAAAAUUACCCGAAUUGCACAUGUCAACCCUUCACAAGGGGAAUUAUUCUACUUGCGGAUGUUGCUCCACGUUCGUAAAGGCCCAACAUCCUUCACUGAUAUCUGAACUAUAUCAGGCCAAGUGUAUCCUACAUUUCGUGCUGCAUGUGAAGCUCUAGGUCUCCUAGGUGAUGACCAAGAGUGGUUGAAUGCUUUAAAAGAUGCAGCUCAGUGGGCAUUACCAUUUCAAUUACGUCAGCUUUUUGUUACCCUGCUGCUUUUUUGUGAUGUAACAAAUCCUAUCAAACUUUUUGAAGAACAUGCAUCACCAAUGUCUGAAGAUAUAGCACAUCGGUUGAAUCCUGGUCGUUCUCAGACAAGCAAAUCAUCACUACAUUCAUACAUGACAUCUUGUCUUCUCAUUGAGCUUGAUAAAUUGCUAAGGGAUUCUGGGUAUUGCUUAUCCCAUUUUAAUUUGCCACUACCAGAUGAUAUGGGAAAUGCUUCUUCAAAAAACCGAAUUUUGCUCGAUGAGCUUAGCUAUGAUAUUCCAGACAUGACAUCCACUUUGAAUGAUAAUAUUCCAAAGCUAAACAGCAACCAGAAGGAUGUAUUUCAUGCUAUCUAUAAUUCUGCAAUAAAUAAUGAAGGCCAAACAUUCUUUGUUUAUGGAUACGGAGGGACUGGAAAAACUUUUCUAUGGACUACUUUAAUGUAUUCGUUAUGA